Long non-coding RNA from Sus scrofa (pig), 2618 nucleotides. RefSeq lists it as uncharacterized. The record is from RefSeq and is a predicted model, not a curated record. Lineage: Eukaryota; Metazoa; Chordata; Mammalia; Artiodactyla; Suidae.
GUGGUUCUGAUUAGACCCCUAGCCUGGGAACUUCCAAAUGCCGUAGGUCCGGCCCUAAAAAGCAAAAACGAAAAACAACCCCCCCCAAAAACUCACAGUGCCUCUGCGGGUUUGCUUGUCACUUUGGAGCACCUGAGCACACAGUUUAAUAAUCACAGUUCUAAUCAAAGAAACUCAGCUCUACUCUGAUAGAAAUAGGAAGUCUCUUUUUUAAAGAAAAAUGUUUAUAUCAUAGCUAUUUACACAAGUUUAAACCUUAUAAUGACGUUAAUGAGGGUAUAUUUUAAUGCCAAAGUUUUAAAAUUCAGAUAAUUUUGUUAAUAAUCUGAAACACACCAAGAUGUUGCUGAGAAUAGUGUUUUCUGGUAUCAUCAUCAGAGAGCACAAAAUAAAUGCUGGUAAUAUUAUUAGAAGUAUUAUAGCUCUGACACAUAAAAGAAAAUCAUUCUAUUAGAGAUUAAAUGAUAUUAAUACUAUUGGUAAUCAUUAUCAUCAUAAAUUUUCAACAGUAAAAUUCAUCCCCACAUAUAACAAUUAUUGGACCUUAUUGUUUAGAGGUUGCAUUUUACUGAAGAGCAUCUUGGUUCUUGGAAUAAAAUUUUAAACAGCAACCAAAGAACAGCUUUAAGUUAAAAAUGUUUUAUUUUUAAGAGUUAGUGGUGUGAACGUUUUUCUCACACAGCUAAACUGCUGGAACGAGUCCAAGCUUUGUGCAAGUUUUCCUUAAGUGUUUCAUGUUGUCCCUGCUUUAAACCCAAACAAUUGCUAACUCUUUGUAAGCUGUUGUAAUACUGACUCAGCUGAUAAAUUAAUGAAAUCCCCUUUCUUGGAAAUCCUAAACCACAAAACAUUUGUUACAUUGCUAAUAGGAAGGAGUGGACAGAGAUGGGCCACCCAACAUUCUCUAUGCCUGGAUCAUCUGCAAUGAGAAAACAGCAAUUUAUUUGUAUUUCUUACUUACCCAGAUCAACAGUUACCAACUAGAUAGGGACUGAGCCUAGAGCAGCAGGAGGUGGUAUAUAAAAACACAGGUACUGGAGGAAAUGGGAGGGGACAGAACCAUAAUCAAUGGCUGUCAGGUGUGGUUGGCAGGAUGUAGCUGGUGGGCUAGAGGAAGAGAAGUAGAAGAAAUGGUGCUCAUCCAAGGUUAUUUUGAUUAACUAGCCAGAAGGCCACAGAUGGAUACUCACAGGAGAAUGAUCAGAGCAGAAAUAGCACUCUUGGCAGGUAGAUGUGGGGACUGAGGGAGAAUUAAUUUUAGCUUUAAUUUUUAAAGUUUUAAUUCAUUUGUAUUUUAUUUUAAUUAAUUUUUAAAAGCUUUAAUUUUUUAAAAAAGUUUUAAGAUUUUUAUUAUAGGGAUAUAUGUAUAUAAGGAAAUAUACCACGUUAACCCUUCUUAAGUGUACAGUUUAGUGGCAUUAAGUACAUUCACAUCAUUGUACAAUCCUCACCACCAUCUGUCUCCGGAGCAUUUUCUUCUUCCCAAACUGAAACUCUGCACCCACUAAACAACCCCCUAUUACGCUCUCCUCCCCUGCCCCAGGCUCCUUGUGACCACCAAUGUGCUGCCUGCCUCUAUGAAUUUGACUGUUCUAAGUACUUCAUGAACUGCCAUACUGUUUUCCAUAGUGGCUGCACCGUUUUACAUCCAUACCAGCAAUGACCCUUUCAUUUCAGUCUCAGCCACAGUGGACGCUUCCGUGGAAGCACAGACUUUCCUUGUGCUGCCAGCAUCUUACCUUAAGCUCAAGCUCAAGCCACACUUUCUGCUCCAAGGUCAUCUCCAACACACACAAAUGCAGCCCAGAAAUACCUGGAAGUUAACAGCCUUUCCUGGAGGAAACUUCUAGCACAGGUCAGGGGUCAAGCCUCCCAUUUGUUUCAGGUGGACAAUUCUGAACAGCUUUCCAUGACCUUCUUUUGAGAUUGAUGGGAACAAGCCCACCACUCCCAGUAGCAACCUCAGCAGCCCACACUGGUCUCAGCUUUUCCUCCUUCCCUGUCUCCAUCUCUUGCUUCCUGGAAUCAUCACCCAAAUAAACCACCCAUACCCCUCGGGCUCUGCCUUGAUGGGGGCUCAAAGGAAUAAGGGACAAAUACUGGGAGCAGAAAGACCAGCCCUUUCCAGGUACAACUACAUCAGCAGCAUAGUCUCACUGGUGACCUUCAUCCACGAUCAUGUAAGAACACUUCCUAAGGGGAAAGUAUGCUCAACGCAUUGAUGAUAUAACCUAUCCCAGCACAUUGAUAUUAUAAUCUAGACUCCUUCUUAGGGGUCUUUUGUUUGGUUUUAUUUUUCUUUGAGGGGGCAGUCCCUUUGCUCUUUCCUCUUUUUCAAUGUCUAAAUCCCUUGUGUGAUGCCUCACUUUCAUGUUUAGAAUUUCCCCAAAUUGACUGUGGCCUGUGGAAGGCAAGGUGGAGGGAGCUGUUUAUAGAAAAUGAACAAGGAAGGGAAGAAGACCAGAGGUGAAAAGCUGUGACUAAUUUUGACAUCAAAGAUUACAAUGAUAUACACAAUGGAAUACUACUCAGCCAUAAAAAAGAAUGAAAUAAUGCCAUUUGCAGCAACAUGGAUGGAACUAGAGACUCUCAUACUAAGUAACGUAAGUCAGAAAGAG